RNA transcript from Mus pahari (shrew mouse), 1265 nucleotides. It is a transcript of the gene named acetyl-CoA acetyltransferase, cytosolic pseudogene, with no coding region annotated. The record is from RefSeq and is a predicted model, not a curated record. NCBI's taxonomy places the organism in Eukaryota, Metazoa, Chordata, Mammalia, Rodentia, Muridae. The transcript has 2 exons.
CAGACGGGACAAGGCUGAGAGCUAGCAGGGAGCGGAGCGACAAGAUGAAUGCCGGCUCAGACCCCGUGGUCAUCGUCUCGGCGGCGCGCACCGCUAUAGGCUCCUUCAAUGGUGCCCUGUCCACUGUGCCUUUCCACGAACUGGGGACAACUGUCAUCAAAGAAGUCCUGCAGAGGUCCAAGGUGGCUCCAGAAGAGGUGUCCGAGGUCAUAUUUGGACACAUCUUGACCGCAGGUUGUGGGCAGAAUCCCACUCGACAAGCCAGUGUGGGUGCAGGGAUCCCCUACUCGGUUCCAGCAUGGAGCUGCCAGAUGAUCUGUGGCUCAGGCCUAAAAGCCGUGUGUCUUGCAGCCCAGUCCAUAGCCAUGGGCGACUCCACCAUUGUGGUUGCUGGAGGCAUGGAGAAUAUGAGCAAGGCUCCUCACUUGACUCACCUGAGAACAGGAGUGAAGAUGGGUGAGGUGCCACUGGCUAACAGCAUACUCUGUGAUGGUCUUACAGAUGCCUUUCACAACUACCACAUGGGCAUCACAGCUGAAAACGUAGCCAAAAAAUGGCAAGUGAGCAGAGAGGCCCAGGACAAGGUUGCAGUUCUGUCACAGAACAGGGCGGAGCAUGUGCAGAAAGCUGGCCUCUUUGACAAGGAGAUUGUGCCAGUGCUGGUGUCUUCCAGAAAAGGUCUUACUGAAAUGAAAAUCGAUGAGUUUCCUCGUCAUGGGAGUAACCUCGAAGCCAUGGGCAAGCUGAAACCUUACUUUCUUACCGAUGGGACAGGAACUGUCACCCCAGCGAACGCAUCAGGAAUGAACGAUGGCGCUGCUGCCGUGGUUCUUAUGAAGAAGACAGAAGCUGAGAGUCGGAUGCUGAGACCUUUAGCAAGAAUAGUCUCCUGGUCACAAGCCGGUGUGGAGCCUUCUGUUAUGGGAGUAGGACCAAUUCCAGCCAUAAAGCAAGCUGUUGCAAAGGCAGGCUGGUCCCUGGAGGAUGUUGACCUGUUUGAAAUCAAUGAAGCCUUUGCAGCGGUGUCUGCGGCAAUAGCUAAAGAACUUGGAUUAAACCCCGAGAAGGUCAACAUCGAUGGAGGAGCCAUUGCCUUGGGCCAUCCUCUGGGAGCAUCUGGCUGUAGGAUUCUAGUGACCUUGCUACACACCCUGGAGAGAGUCUGCUUGUGGACGUUGAACUGGAAAGUUAAGGAUGUUGAGAGCUGUGCAGAAGAUGGAGACCUGGCUUGUGAAGUUUCAAAGGGAAGUUUAAAGGCUCCAUAG